Molecule: ribosomal RNA, 579 nt
Filed under: uncultured Hafnia sp.
Lineage: Bacteria; Pseudomonadati; Pseudomonadota; Gammaproteobacteria; Enterobacterales; Hafniaceae
Description: bacterial SSU rRNA
Rfam family: Bacterial small subunit ribosomal RNA
Source: RNAcentral
ACGGGUGAGUAAUGUCUGGGAAACUGCCUGAUGGAGGGGGAUAACUACUGGAAACGGUAGCUAAUACCGCAUGACGUCUUCGGACCAAAGUGGGGGACCUUCGGGCCUCACGCCAUCAGAUGUGCCCAGAUGGGAUUAGCUAGUAGGUGGGGUAAUGGCUCACCUAGGCGACGAUCUCUAGCUGGUCUGAGAGGAUGACCAGCCACACUGGAACCGAGACACGGUCCAGACUCCUACGGGAGGCAGCAGUGGGGAAUAUUGCACAAUGGGCGCAAGCCUGAUGCAGCCAUGCCGCGUGUAUGAAGAAGGCCUUCGGGUUGUAAAGUACUUUCAGCGAGGAGGAAGGCAUUGUGGUUAAUAACCACAGUGAUUGACGUUACUCGCAGAAGAAGCACCGGCUAACUCCGUGCCAGCAGCCGCGGUAAUACGGAGGGUGCAAGCGUUAAUCGGAAUUACUGGGCGUAAAGCGCACGCAGGCGGUUGAUUAAGUCAGAUGUGAAAUCCCCGAGCUUAACUUGGGAACUGCAUUUGAAACUGGUCAGCUAGAGUCUUGUAGAGGGGGGUAGAAUUCCAGGUGUA